CGGGGGCAGGGCCAGCGAGGGGGAGACAGACACGGGGAGGCCCACGGCUGGGGACCUGGCGCGAAGGAGGACGUGGCCGCGGGGUGCUCGGCAGCAGGACGACCGAGACGUCCUGUCCCAAAGAGAAGAGCUCAGGCCUGCGCUGCGGGACAUCCAGGGGCAUCAGGGAGGCUUCCUGGAGGAGACGCCCUAACGGGAAGGAAGGCGCAGAUCUAAACGGAGAAAGGCGAGGCCUAGGCGGAAAGCGAGGCAGAUGGGAAGUUAGCUGGGUGUGAAGCCGGGGGAACAACCGCAGAGAUGGCGCUGCUCCCGCGGGCGCCUGCCGGGGCGGGAUCCCCUUAGGAUCACUCGCACCGGAAGUCGAUUCUGGAGGUGUGCGGGCCUGCAGCUCUCGGCGGAACUCACAGGCGCUCGCUCGCGCUCUCUCCCUCCCUCCCUCUCCCAGUCUCACGCAUAGGUGCCGUUGUGAGCACACAAGCUCCACAGGUUGGGAUUUACACUUCUGCAUCUAUCUCAGAAGAGAGGGGAAAGUCUAGGGCGUAGCCCCUAGCUGUCCAUUGAGUCAGGCUGAGCACUGCACCCUCGGGCCUCACACAUGCUCUUUGUUUGAGGAGGGGCCGCCCGCCCUCGCCCAGGGCCCAGCACUGGGCCUGGGAAAGCUCUGUUCCCAGGAGCCUGAGAAGUUGGCCUCUGUCUAAGGCCCUGGAGAGGAGAACCUGGGGGAACCAAGUGCCCUGGGCAGCCGGGAGUCAACCUGCCAGACUCCUCAAACAGCCGGGCCCUCCGGAAGGCUUUGGGCAGGGAGCUGGGGAGCGGGGCCCCAACUCUGGGUGCUGGGAAGACACAGUGGGGUCCCCGGGGCUGGCAGUGCCAGUGGCACCUGUGGCCUGGAUGCGGCCUAGCGAUGCCAACUGUGUCCAGUCCUCCAUAAAGGGCCGGCCUCGCCCACCUGUCCGUGGUGCCACUCAGCUCUCCGGGCAAGACUUUUUGGCCACGCUGGAAAAAUCAUCCUCGUUGUCGAUGUCCUGCUCACCUAGGAGUUGCUGCAACCCUGCCAGUCUGGAGGCGUGGCUUAGCAGCGGAGCCCUCACUGGGCAUGGCUGGGCCCUGAGCUCAAUCCCCAGCACACAAAAGAGAGGAGAAGACCCUCCACCACCCUAGAUGUGCUGGCCCCCAACGUGACAUCUGUGCCACACUUGGCAGUUCCUGCCCUUCUGUCCCCAUCCCUGAUCAUCUAAAUCUUACGACAGCCCCUGAGGCCCCAGGUACAUUUGCAAUCCUCCUGCCUCAGCCUCCUGAACAGCUGGGAUUACAAGCACGACCCCAGGUACAGGUUCUGAGCUGCAUUUUCCCUUGAUGUUCAGAGAGCUUGUGCAGCUGCCCUGAGGACUCCCAGGUAAUGCAGGAAUGGAGGAAACAAGCAGCCCAGACCCAGGUGGGCUGGCUGGGAAGACUCCGGGCUGUGUCCCUGCUCCUUGGACUUGGCAGUUGGGACAGAGACCCCUAGGCUGGAUCUCCGGGUGGAGGCUGGGAGCUGGACUUCCCAGUGGAACCCAGCGACCCCUCAGUGACAGUGACAGCCUAGUCAAGAUAACUGUAUCACCCUGUGCGGGGCCAGAUGGGAAGCGGGAGGCAGGUGGACAGCCCAGGACCCCUCAGGGACAGGCGGUGGUCAGGGCCUGAUGUGCCGAUGCCAGCACAGCCAUUUGCAUCUAAGAGCCCGGAUUCCCGGUGAUGGGGCUGGGGAUGAGGCUUUGGAGAGUCCUCUCUGCCCGAGGAGAGCAGCCUCCUGUUCCCAAGGGCUGGGUGUCUGUCAGUGACAGGACCGUCUUAGACCUGGCCAGGAUGCCAGCCUUCGGGGGCGGGGGCAUCUGGCAGAGCUCACCGCAACUUAAUAAAGCGGAUCAUCCACAGCCCUCCCUCGAACGCUGUAGUGUUUGUCCACAGACCGAAUCAGCAUUACCUGAGCACUGAGAACAGGUCGGAGCCCCUCCCCAGUGUUCAUUCCAGACUGGGAACAUGGGUCAUUCGCUCAACAAACGCUUACUGUGCCCUACAGUGCAGCAGGGUGAUUUCAGGACAGCACUGCCAGAUAAAAUUCAGGAUGUCCAAACUGGGCGUGGGUGCACGCCUAUUAUCCCAGCACUCGGGAGGCUGAGGCAGGAGGGUUACGGUGAGUUCGAGGCCAGCCUGGGCUACAUUGCACCCUCGGGGACUGGGCGACAGGGCCAGAGUGUGGCUCAGGCGUGCUGGCCUUGUGAGCCCCAGGGAGGGCAGGGCUGCAACUGUGGUUCAGGAGGGCAAAGGUGACUUUGGGAAGCGCAAGGAUGGCCCGGGCACCGGGCUCACAGCAGCCCACCCCCGUGUGAGGUCACUGCUGGGCCCAGAACCUGUCCCAGUCGUGUGCCGUCCCGGGGAAGGGCCUCUGCGAGGUCCACAUCCUGUCCCCAGGGGGACCUGCGCCGGCCUCAGGGUCACCCGGGGCUGGGUCCAGCUUGGCUUUGGUGCCUGAUUUUAUAAGCCAUGCUUCGGUGCGUGCUUCCAUUCCUGCAGCUCUGUCUUUCUUAAUUAUUCAAAUGAUUCUCAGAAACGGGAUUACUGACUGAGUCAGUGGGCGUGGGCUGCUCCAGUUCCAGUCACCCAGACCCAGUCUCUUUCCAAGAAGCAGAGACAUGGGGCACUGAUUUGACCAGCACUGGGGACGAUGGGUGCCCUGUCUCCCUGUCCCUGUCCCUCUGUGUGUUUUCGGUCCUAGUGAUCGAACCCAGGGCCUCGGCACUGAGCUGCAUCCCCGGCCUUUUUUCACGUUCUGUUUUGACACAGGGCCUCACUAGGUCAUUAAAUUGCCCGGGCUGGUCUCUGACCUGCGAUCCUCCUACUUCAGCCUCCCAGACUGCUGGGAUGACAACUGGGUGCCACCCUGCUCAGCGUGAAUGAACUUUGUACCUCGGAGAAGUCCAGCUGCCCCGUGUGGCAGUGUUGGGGAGUUUAAGAGAUCGGAGAGACCAACGGGUGAAACGCCAUUCACUUAGGCAUGGGCCCAGCCAUUUGUGUCCGAAGGCUGAGCCCCGGCAGAGAAGAGGCUGUGUUUUCACACCAUCGAGGGCUCGGUCUUCCUAGGGUGUGAAACUGGUGGGUAGGCAAGCGGCUUACAGAAGCAGGACAAAGGCAGCUCCUCAAGUAGACAGUUUUGCCUCUGAGCAUAUCUCCG
RNAcentral lists this long non-coding RNA (3211 nucleotides) under Heterocephalus glaber (naked mole-rat). Its description in RNAcentral is "lncRNA (ENSHGLG00000036393.1)". The record is from RNAcentral. Lineage: Eukaryota; Metazoa; Chordata; Mammalia; Rodentia; Bathyergidae.